Non-coding RNA from Hydra vulgaris (swiftwater hydra), 800 nucleotides. The record is from RefSeq and is a predicted model, not a curated record. NCBI's taxonomy places the organism in Eukaryota, Metazoa, Cnidaria, Hydrozoa, Anthoathecata, Hydridae.
AAUUAGUAAAUUUAGUAUAAUUAAUUAAUUUUAUUUUUUGCAUUUUUUAUCCUUAUUUUAAUUGAUCAAAGUAUAGAAUUUUAAUUUAUCAACCCGGGUAAUUAAAUUUCCAGUUGAAAGAGUUGAUAGAGUUGCAGCAUUUUUAGAGAAAUAUCAAUGUGUAUCCUAAUAAGCUAUUAAUUGUUGGCGACAUAGCUCAUGUAUUAAAGUCUUCUGUCACAGUUGACUCAGCAAGAAUGAAGACAUUGAUACACUUUUGCAUUAUGAAAUACCCAAGUUGGCAGUUCCUUGCCCACUGCCACCCAAAUACAGGUAAGUAUGCAUGCAUACACAACCCUCAAAAUUAGUAAAACUAAAGUGAGUAAUAAAUUUUUGACCUUAAACUGUUUUAGGUUGGCACCAGAUUACAAUCGGCAAACAAAGCCAUUUUUACAAAGGUUUUACUAUAAAAGAUAAAAACGAGAUUUAAAAAAUCCUUAUCUGUACGUAACAGACGACAUACAAAAAGACUUUUCAGAUCAUUUAAAAAUCACUAAAAGAGAGAACCAUCGGUACUAUGGAGACGAAGUGAUUAUUAUGUGUGGCAAAAGACUAUUUUAUGAAGUUUUCUAUUUUCUGAAUUCGUGAUGGAACUUAUUAGAAAACACUUGUCAUGGACAUGGGAGGAGUAUUGCCGCUACAAGCAUGAACAAUAAUAAAACAUUCCAAAGAACAAUUUGUUAUUUCAACGAUUAGAUUUGUCGUAUAAAUGUAUAAAUGCUUUUUGAAUAUUCUUAUUAUAUAUCAUUCUAAUUUCAAAA